RNAcentral lists this transfer RNA (93 nucleotides) under Rhodocyclaceae bacterium. RNAcentral describes it as "tRNA-Ser". It matches the Rfam family "tRNA". From Rfam's summary of the family: Transfer RNA (tRNA) molecules are approximately 80 nucleotides in length. Their secondary structure includes four short double-helical elements and three loops (D, anti-codon, and T loops). Lineage: Bacteria; Pseudomonadati; Pseudomonadota; Betaproteobacteria; Rhodocyclales; Rhodocyclaceae. The record is from RNAcentral.
GGAGAGGUACCGAAGCGGUCAUAACGGCGCCGACUCGAAAUCGGAUGGUUCCCGAAAGGGGGCACCAGGGUUCGAAUCCCUGCCUCUCCGCCA